AGCGGCGAACGGGUGAGUAACACGCAGGUGAUCUGCCCAUCAGACGGGGACAACGAUUGGAAACGAUCGCUAAUACCGGAUAGGACGAAAGUUUAAAGGUGCUUCUGGCACCGCUGAUGGAUGAGCCUGCGGCGCAUUAGCUAGUUGGUAGGGUAAAGGCCUACCAAGGCGACGAUGCGUAGCCGACCUGAGAGGGUGAACGGCCACACUGGGACUGAGACACGGCCCAGACUCCUACGGGAGGCAGCAGUAGGGAAUCUUCGGCAAUGGGCGAAAGCCUGACCGAGCAACGCCGCGUGAAUGAUGAAGGCCUUCGGGUUGUAAAAUUCUGUUAUAAGGGAAGAACGACUUUAGUAGGAAAUGGCUAGAGUGUGACGGUACCUUAUGAGAAAGCCACGGCUAACUACGUGCCAGCAGCCGCGGUAAUACGUAGGUGGCGAGCGUUAUCCGGAAUUAUUGGGCGUAAAGAGCGCGCAGGUGGUUGAUUAAGUCUGAUGUGAAAGCCCACGGCUUAACCGCGGAGGGUCAUUGGAAACUGGUCGACUUGAGUGCAGAAGAGGGAAGUGGAAUUCCAUGUGUAGCGGUGAAAUGCGUAGAUAUUAGGAGGAACACCAGUAGCGAAGGCGGCUUUCUGGACUGUAACUGACACUGAGGCACGAAAGCGUGGGGGGCAAACAGGAUUAGAUACCCUGGUAGUCCACGCCGUAAACGAUGAGUACUAGGUGU
Molecule: ribosomal RNA, 726 nt
Filed under: uncultured bacterium
Lineage: Bacteria
Description: bacterial SSU rRNA
Rfam family: Bacterial small subunit ribosomal RNA
Source: RNAcentral